Orcinus orca (killer whale) is the source of this 704-nucleotide RNA transcript. It is a transcript of the gene named 40S ribosomal protein SA-like, with no coding region annotated. The record is from RefSeq and is a predicted model, not a curated record. The transcript has a single exon. Lineage: Eukaryota; Metazoa; Chordata; Mammalia; Artiodactyla; Delphinidae.
CGCUACCCAGACAGGGGUCCAUACGGCGUUGCUCUGGAUUCCCGUCGUAACUUAAAGGGAAAUUUUCACAAUGUCCGGAGCCCUUGAUGUCCAGCAAAUGAAGGAGGAGGAUAUCCUCAAAUUCCUUGCAGCAGGAACCCACUUAGGUGGCACCAACCUUGACUUCCAAAUGGAACAGUACAUCUACAAAGGAAAAGUGAUGGCAUCUACAUCAUAAAUCUGAAGAGAACCUGGGAGAAGCUUCUGUUGGCAGCUCGUGCCAUUGUUGCCAUUGAAAACCCAGCUGAUGUCAGUGUCAUAUCCUCCAGGAAUACUGGCCAGCGAGCUGGGCUGAAUUUUGCUGCUGUCACUGGAGCCACUCCUAUAUCUGGCCGCUUCACUCCUGGAACCUUCACUAACCAGAUCCAGGCAGCCUUCUGGGAGCCAAGACUUCCGGUGGUUACUGAUCCCAGGGCUGACCACCUGCCUCUCACAGAGGCCUCUUACAUGAACCUGCCUACCAUUGGUCUGUGUAACAGAUUCUCCUCUGCACUGUGUGGACAUUGUCAUCCCGUGCAAUAAGGGAGCUCACUCAGUGGGUCUGAUGUGGUGGAUACUCGCCCGGGGAAGUUCUGCACAUGCGUGACACCAUCUACUGUGAAUACCCAUGGGAGGUCAUGCCUGAUCUCUACUUCUACAGAGAUCCUUAAGAGAUUGAAAAGGAA